This is a long non-coding RNA of Felis catus (domestic cat), 2962 nucleotides long. RefSeq lists it as uncharacterized. NCBI's taxonomy places the organism in Eukaryota, Metazoa, Chordata, Mammalia, Carnivora, Felidae. The record is from RefSeq and is a predicted model, not a curated record. The transcript has 3 exons.
GAUCCAAAGAGUGACGCAGAGUCAUUACACCUGCAGACACGGGUACAAGACAAUGUAUCAUUCAGCCUUACGAUCGUGGCACAGACUUCAAGUCUUCAGGAAAUUCCUAAAAGUGCCCAGAGCACCAGUGGAGACAGGCAAAGACUUCUUGCACCUACUUCUUGAGGGUGGUGAAAGGGGGCUAGGAGCACAGGGGUAGGGAAGCAGACGGGAGCCUGGCUUUUGUGAGGGGACCUCCUGCCUGCAGCCGAUGUGCUGUGGCUCAGUUGGAGGGGAAGUGGGGACCCACCAAGAGUGAUAAAGGGGGGGGGACAUGAUGCUUCUAGGGAGGCAUCUGCACUCUUUUGUUGUGGCAAAAUAUACAUAAGAUUGGCCAUUUUCAUCAUUUUUAAGUCUGUCAUUCAGCGACAUUAAAUAUAUCCACAUUGUUGUGUGACCAUCACCAGUAUCUGCCUGCACAACCUCUUCAUCGUCCCAGACAGAAACUCUGCACCCCUUAAACAACGACCCAUUGCCUUUGCCCAGCCCUUAGUGACCUUCAUUUGAUUUUCUGUAUCUAUGAAUUUGCCUAGUCUAUGUACCUCAUCUAAGUGAAAACAUGCAAUAUUUGUCCUUUUGUGACUGGUUUAUUUAUGUAAUGUAAUGUCUUUAAGGUUCAUCCAUGUUGGAGCAGGGGUCAGAACUGCCUUCCUUUUUAAGGCUGAAUAAUAUUCGAUUGCGUAUUUGUUUUGUUUUAUUUUAUUCAUUUAUUCAUCUGUAGAUGGGCAGAUGUUUUGUUUAUUCAUUCAUCUGUAGAUGGACAUUUGGGUCGUUUCCCCUUUUGGGUUGUUGUGAAUACAGCUGCUACGAACGUCGGUGUACGAGGACCUGUUUGGGAUCCUGCUUUCAGUCCUUCGAGUAUGUACCUAGGAGUGGAAUGACUGGAUCAAUACGGUCACUGUCUGCAAAGUAAAAGAUUUCUAUUUUCAUGGCCAGCUCAGCCACAUGCUGUCUCUCCUUGACGUUCAUCCAGAUCUCAUGCAGACAGAAUUCCUCCCAGCCUCUUGACAGGCCCUGACGGGCCUGAAUUCACACACACUAGAGUUAUCACUGAUCUCAGGCAAGACAUCAGGCAGGAUGGAAGAAGCUUGGGUCUCAGGAUCAUCAAAUGGAGAAAAGCCUGCCAGUCAGGAAAUGAGGGAGAAAUAAACUCCUAUUGUGUUAACCAUGAAAAAAUGUUUGGUCUAUUUGUUAUAGCAGCUAAUACAGGAAGCAAAAUGAUAAUACUCCCAUAGGGAGUCAGAAGAAAAUGAUCUCUGUCAUUGUUUUGAACUGAAAAACCACACCAGAGUGAAGAACACUGGCUCCAAGCUUUGGGUGACCUUGACGGAAAGCCAGAGCAAAUUAACUUGGCUUAGGCAUAUUAAUGAAGUGGCAGGUAUUUAUAGAAUGUGUUAUUAGCUAAUCAUCCUUUGAAAACCAGUUUGCUUCUUGGGGAAGGUUUUGGCAGCUGUGCAUAGGCUGAUAGUUCCCAUUGUCUCCCUGCUCAUAGUCAUAAACUGAGAUUAUUCUAAUUUAGGUACUUCGGAUCAAAAAAAGAGAUGGGGUCAAAGUUAUAUUUGAGCCAGAAUCUCCUCAAUACGUAGGUCAUUGUCUCUGGGGCUCAGUUUGACGCAGAACUGAGGGAAAGAAACCUCUGCCAGCACCCUUCUAAAUAUCCUCAUGGCCUGGAAGAACCAAUGCCCUUGUGACAAUGGAGUCCUCACUUUUGGGGACCAUCCUGCAAUUUUGCUUCCUUGAGUGUAGGUGUUCAGGCUGAGUCACACAAAACAAACAAAAAAACCGCAAACAAACAAAUAAAAAGAACCCACCACCAACAACAAAACACAAAAAACACAUGCCCACAAGGAUAGGCAAGAGCCCCCUUCUCCCCACGUUUCUAUCAUGUUUUAGAGAAAGACAUAAUGUUGAUGAGGGUACAAAUUCACACUAGUUUGCCUGGGGUAACAACUGUAAGAGGGCUCAGCCAUGGUGGUUUGAGGUGGGCCCCAGCUCAAGAUCACUGCUUCUCUGCGUGCACCAACGCUGACUAACGUGCAUUCUGACUCUAUCCCAGCACCCGUACACUCCCAGGAAGGAUUCAAAAGGAUUCAGCCAUCUUCUCCACCUAACCCACCAUUUUCCAUAAAAGAAGAUUGCUAAAAGCAGUCAAUUUCAUGAGAGAGAGGUAGUUGAUAGGCAUUAAAGGAUUAUAGACUAUCGUAGGAGGGAAAUAUAGAACACUGUAUAUAAACGCUAGGUACAUGCUAAUUAGCCUCAAUACGGGAGGCAGGUCUUCCUAUCACAAGUUAAAGAGUGCAGUAGAUUCAAAAAAGUCUUUUUUUUUUUUUUAAUUUUCCUUUCUCAGUAAAACUUUUACAAUGGGGAGAAGAUAUAGCAUUUGGCUCACCCAUUCUGGGUACAAAAGGAUUCCACAGGCAAACUACAUUAUUAGAAGAAGCUGUCCAGCUCAUACUUGUUCAUUCAUUAGCUAGAGCAUGAGAGGUGUCUAACGAACUGGUUUUGUGACAUUCUCAUCUGAGGAAGUCACACGGGCACCUUCAGCACAUUUACAUGUGUGAGUCCUGGCUUUGGUAGAGUUUUCUGUGGGCAAGGCUCACAUGAAAGCAUUGGAAGGGGUGGCUUUUCUGGGUUUAGAUCCGAGUAAGUAGAGAAGUUGACUUCGGGGACUGGAGGGCUUGGACUCUGGCAGACUCAGCACUAGGUGCUGUUUUUAGGAGUUCUUCAACUUUAUUGACAUGAAAACUUCCAAGUAAAAUACGACUCUGAAGGAAGGCACCUGUUUGAACCACCAAAUGCAAAAGAAAUAAUAAUUAAAAUCUCUUCUCCUUAAUGGCCAUCUUGACUCAGUUGUACGUCUUCUGGGUAGUGGUUCACAUUUCAGUACUUGAGGAGCAUAGGGAAUGCCUUGGAUUUUAUUAUU